Astatotilapia calliptera (eastern happy) is the source of this 1319-nucleotide long non-coding RNA. The record is from Ensembl. Lineage: Eukaryota; Metazoa; Chordata; Actinopteri; Cichliformes; Cichlidae.
UGUGUGUGUUACACCUGUUGCGUUGCUGUUAACCUGAUACCCUCUGUCAUCAUAUCUGCACAUCAUCAGACACUUUUUAGCUUAAAUGAAAAAAAUAUCAAAGUAAAUCAAAAGUAGACUCACUUUAACCAAACUGCUCUUCUUUUAUGCAAAGAUUCAAUUCAAUUUUAUUUUAUUUAUAUAGCGCCAAAUCACAACAUAAGUCGCCUCAAGGCGCUUUAAAAACCAAAAACACAGAAUCAUUUAAUCUUUCCAGGCAGGUUUGGACUUUUGAAUUUCCCCUAUAGUGACCAGUCUCUCUACUUGAAACUUGUGUGAAAGCCUCACAGGAAUGUUCAGUUGAGUGGCCUGUGCUUGCAGGUUUGGCAUGUUUGCUAACUGAGUGUCUGUAAGCUCGAAUUAUGAGGAUGAACUCUGAUUGUUUCACUUCAUGCUUUUGCUGCUAGAAAUAUAAAAAGGCAAAAUAAAUUUGUCUUGUUGCCAUGGUUUUAUGACGUGUCAAGAAACAUGCUUCAGGGAAUGAUAGCGUAAGAUGAUAAUAGCUCACAGUUUAAACAAGCAGGAGUAUCUGAAGUGGCUGACGCAGAGACAGUGGAGUCAGAUUUUUUUUUUUUUUUUUGGCCUUCUUAUUUACUGCCCAAUGUGUAAGUCGGAGAAACCAGAGUGCUCCUUCUUUAACAUCUUUCUGGCAGAUGAUGACGUUGAUCUCGUGUAUGCAGCACACUGCAGCAGCACCUUGUGAUUAUGGAGGUUAGCAUUACUAUGCUACAUUAUCCACCCUAAAUGCGACUCAGACUUUAAUAGUUGUAAAGAGGGUUGGGUUUUAUAAGACGAAGCACUGACUGGGUUUAGAGUUUAAGGUAAGCCAGCAGACAUUAUUUAUAGGCCAGCUGACUGUAGUGAAGAAGCUGAUCAGGGAUCAGAUAUUAACAACUGCUGGGACCAACAACUGCUGCUUUCCAAUAUAGCCCUGUGUGGCUGCAGCAAAGCUGAGCACUAACAGAGGAGGGUCACACCAAAAGGUUAAGAGUCUGCCACAGGAAAUGGCAUUGAGCUGGUCACAUUAGCUCUAUUAGAGUCAGAUCAGGAUGCUAUGUUUGCUAUAAGAUGAAGUGGCAGCUUCUGACCAGGAAACAUUUCGUUUAAAUUGAUGAUCACAUAUCCGGUUGCUUUUCUUGAGAACCGACAGGUGCAAUAGUUUAAUCACGUGUGCUAGCAGCUUCUAGCCUCACAGGCCUGUACUCCAUACAUAAGUUAUGCUGCUGCCCGGGUUGGGUAGGUUAGGUCUGCAGGUAUAGGUGUGAAUGCGGGAGUGAAUG